UACGGAGGAUCCGAGCGUUAUCCGGAUUUAUUGGGUUUAAAGGGUGCGUAGGCGGAAAGUGUAAGUCAGUGGUGAAAUUCCUGCAGCUUAACUAGUAGAAUAGCCGUUGAAACUGUGUUUCUUGAGUACAUUUGAGGUAGGCGGAAUGUGGUGUGUAGCGGUGAAAUGCAUAGAUAUACCACAGAACACCGAUUGCGAAGGCAGCUUACUAAACUGUCACUGACGCUGAUGCACGAAAGCGUGGGUAUCAAACAGGAUUACGAUA
RNAcentral lists this ribosomal RNA (265 nucleotides) under uncultured prokaryote. RNAcentral's name for it is "partial 16S ribosomal RNA". It matches the Rfam family "Bacterial small subunit ribosomal RNA", at positions 524 to 784 of the family's 1533-position model. The record is from RNAcentral.